Molecule: long non-coding RNA, 509 nt
Organism: Spinacia oleracea (spinach)
Lineage: Eukaryota; Viridiplantae; Streptophyta; Magnoliopsida; Caryophyllales; Amaranthaceae
Exons: 2
Source: RefSeq, a predicted model, not a curated record
GAAGGUUUAUUACGGAGUAUCAAACUAUGUAAAUCAAACCGCGUGUCAGCUUCUAGGCAGAAACAAAAGAGGAGUGACAACGAAGAAGGCGUGCAAUCCAAUUUGCAGUACCGAGGAGGUCGAUCCUGGAAAAUUCGUCAGAAAGUGUGAGAAAACCGAGCAGAUACUCAACGAUUGCGUCGGAAAGAAAGAAGGUAUGUAUGUGAGUUUGAAGAUGGGAAAAUGUGUUGAAGCAAGGGGAGCUUAUAUAAUGGACCGUACGGCCGUAUAUUGACAGAUUAUGAAGAUGGUGCAUGAUUUAGGUUAGUAAAGUACGGGAAGUACGGAAUUGUAGUUUAAGAACAAGUGGUUAUUACUUUAAUUUAAUUUUAAUUUGAGUUCAGACAUUGAGUCGUAUUUGACAACUUAUCAACACGUCGAUCAUGUGGAUGAUAAUAAUUAUAGCUGUGAUAUGAUAUGCAUAUUCGCAUAUCACAAACAAUAUAAUAAAUCCAUGGUGUUUUGGGUAA